CUUUGCGUUGGACAAAAAAAAACGAACGGACAAUGUCUAUAAUUUCGAAAUAUGUCAUUUUAUUCUAAUACGUCUAUUGUAAUAUUAUUGGAUAGGUUUUAAAUAAUUUCAAACAUGAAUAAUAUACUUCCAAAUUUAGUUAGAUUCUUGUCUAAUUUUCACAUCUUUAAAAGGUUGCCCGAAGUUGACAAAUGUGUUAUGUUACCUUUGAAAAUUGGAUGUAUGGCUAUUGCUUUGUGGUAUAUUUGGACUAGUGGCGUGAUCAUAGUAAUGGCGAUCUAUACGAAAUAUUUCUUCAACAAUCAGUCUUACAACUGGGUGUGGCUCGGCAAUAAAUAUCAAUGUAUUAUGAACAAAAAUGACUACAAAGCAAACACAGUCGAAUGCCCACAAUAUAUGUUUUUGAAUUCUUCAUUUAAAGCAUUCAUUUUACUGGUUGAAACUGCAUUGUUUAUCGGAAGCGUGGUGUUGUGUAUAGGCGUUCAUUUGCAAAAAACAAAAUGUCUCACGGUGUUUCUAUAUACGUAUAUCACCACAAGAGCCAUUGACUUAUUCUUUAUGAUUGUUUUCAUUGCAAUCGGCGCAUUCGGCAGCUGUAAAGCGAAGAAGAUCAACCGGUUCAACUGUAUGGCCUCGUUUUCCAUUGUUCUCACUACGACCUUUUACGUCAUUGUAGUCGUGAAUAGUUUAAGAUCUUACAUGAGAAAAAUUGCGGCUUUGACGCAUUUAUGGAUUGAAGACGACUUGUGAAGAAUUAAUCUGUUGAUCACAGAAUACCACAAGAGAGGAAUAUAGAAGUGUCAUAAAAACCAUAAGCAGCCGGCCGUAUAGUGUGCCACAUAUUAGGCCGUCCAUAUUUAAGUCUAAAAUUAACUUUUAAACAAAAUGCCAGUUUUGUUUUUGUAAUAUUUUUAUUUAUUAAAUCAAUAAUUAAAUAAUAAUUGUUAGAAACUCCAUAUAACUGGGAAACGAACGGGAUUUUCGUAACUGCAAACUUGGAUGUACGUUACUGAUGUCCUAACAAUAUACUAAAAAGUAGAACUAGGAUUUUGUUUGUUAAGUAUUUUAAUAUUCAAAUGGAUAUAAUUAGCAGUGCGUUCCCCGUGGACCCCCUGGUGGGGGCUAUUCAUUCUAUGGAACAUGUAAAAUUUUCUCAGCUUUGGCCUAGAGAGGUAU
Long non-coding RNA from Plodia interpunctella (Indianmeal moth), 1176 nucleotides. RefSeq lists it as uncharacterized. The record is from RefSeq and is a predicted model, not a curated record. The transcript is spliced from 4 exons. Lineage: Eukaryota; Metazoa; Arthropoda; Insecta; Lepidoptera; Pyralidae.